Molecule: ribosomal RNA, 253 nt
Filed under: uncultured bacterium
Lineage: Bacteria
Description: partial 16S ribosomal RNA
Rfam family: Bacterial small subunit ribosomal RNA
Source: RNAcentral
UACAGAGGGGGCAAGCGUUGUUCGGAAUUACUGGGCGUAAAGGGCGCGUAGGCGGCCUGCUAAGUCGAACGUGAAAUCCCUGGGCUCAACCCAGGAACUGCGUCCGAUACUGGUUGGCUUGAAUUCGGGAGAGGGAUGUGGAAUUCCAGGUGUAGCGGUGAAAUGCGUAGAUAUCAAGAGGAACACCUGAGGUGAAGACGGGUUGCUGGGCUGACACUGACGCUGAGGCGCGAAAGCUAGGGUAGCAAACGGG